GUCGCCUGCAGUCCGUGGAGAAAAGUAGCUUUUUUUUCUGGUAAAGUUACACUGGGUACAUGGGCCACAUCAAUCAUUACCGUCCGGCACAUUGUCUAGGAAAGUACUACGUGGCUGUGGUGGAAGAUCAGACCUCACCACCAUUUGACUGAUGUUGGGGGCGUGUCUGAAGGCUACCCGUCGGGGUUCUUUAAUCGUCUUUUCCAGUUGUGGAUCAAUGAUCAAGACGUGCCAGUGUUUUAAUGAUGUGGUCCAACUGUUUACCAAGUGGGGAGAACUGAAGGAAGCAUUGAACAUGUUGGUCUGGAGGGAGGGAGGUUUGGGGAGAACUGAAGGAAGCAUUGAACAUGUUGGUCUGAAGGGAGGGGAGGUUUGGGGAGAACUGAAGGAAGCAUUGAACAUGUUGGUCUGGAGGGAGGGAGGUUUGGGGAGUACUGAAGGAAGCAUUGAACAUGUUGGUCUGGAGGGAGGGGAGGUUUGGGGAGAACUGAAGGAAGCAUUGAACAUGUUGGUCUGGAGGGAGGGGAGGUUUGGGGAGAACUGAAGGAAGCAUUGAACAUGUUGGUCUGGAGGGAGGGGAGGUUUGGGGAGUACUGAAGGAAGCAUUGAACGUGUUGCUCUGGAGGGAGGGGAGGUUUGGGGAGUACUGAAGGAAGCAUUGAACACGUUGAUCUGGAGGGAGGGGAGGUUUGGGGAGAACUGAAGGAAGCAUUGAACGUGUUGGUCUGAAGGGAGGGGAGGUUUGGGGAGUACUGAAGGAAGCAUUGAACGUGUUGCUCUGGAGGGAGGGGAGGUUUGGGGAGAACUGAAGGAAGCAUUGAACAUGUUGAUCUGGAGGGAGGGGAGGUUUGGGGAGUACUGAAGGAAGCAUUGAACGUGUUGGUCUGAAGGGAGGGAGGUUUGGGGAGUACUGAAGGAAGCAUUGAACGUGUUGCUCUGGAGGGAGGGGAGGUUUGGGGAGAACUGAAGGAAGCAUUGAACAUGUUGGUCUGGAGGGAGGGAGGUUUGGGGAGAACUGAAGGAAGCAUUGAACGUGUUGAUCUGGAGGGAGGGGAGGUUUGGGGAGAACUGAAGGAAGCAUUGAACGUGUUGGUCUGGAGGGAGGGAGGUUUGGGGAGUACUGAAGGAAGCAUUGAACAUGUUGAUCUGGAGGGAGGGGAGGUUUGGGGAGUACUGAAGGAAGCAUUGUCGCUGUCUGAAACGCUCAUCCAGACAGUCCUCUGGGUAACCCCGCUGUCUGAAACACUCAUCCAG
Molecule: long non-coding RNA, 1254 nt
Filed under: Salmo salar (Atlantic salmon)
Lineage: Eukaryota; Metazoa; Chordata; Actinopteri; Salmoniformes; Salmonidae
Description: lncRNA (ENSSSAG00000111354.1)
Source: RNAcentral